RNAcentral lists this ribosomal RNA (506 nucleotides) under uncultured bacterium. RNAcentral's name for it is "bacterial SSU rRNA". It matches the Rfam family "Bacterial small subunit ribosomal RNA", at positions 28 to 526 of the family's 1533-position model. The record is from RNAcentral.
GAUGAACGCUAGCGGCAGGCUUAAUACAUGCAAGUCGUGGGGCAGCAGGUUUGUAGCAAUACAGAUGCUGGCGACCGGCAAACGGGUGCGGAACACGUACAGAACCUUCCUUUGAGCGGGGAAUAGCCCAGAGAAAUUUGGAUUAAUACCCCAUAGUAUAAUGAAGUGGCAUCACUUUAUUAUUAAAGAUUUAUCACUCGAAGAUGGCUGUGCGGCUGAUUAGGUAGUUGGCGGGGUAAAGGCCCACCAAGCCUGCGAUCAGUAACUGGUGUGAGAGCACGACCAGUCACACGGGCACUGAGACACGGGCCCGACUCCUACGGGAGGCAGCAGUAAGGAAUAUUGGUCAAUGGAGGCAACUCUGAACCAGCCAUGCCGCGUGAAGGAUGAAGGCCCUCUGGGUUGUAAACUUCUUUUAUAGGGGACGAAAAAGGGAAUUCCUUCCCACUUGACGGUACCCUAGGAAUAAGCACCGGCUAACUCCGUGCCAGCAGCCGCGGUAAGGU